This 162-nucleotide long non-coding RNA is filed under the name Dasypus novemcinctus (nine-banded armadillo). RNAcentral's name for it is "lncRNA (ENSDNOG00000052164.1)". Lineage: Eukaryota; Metazoa; Chordata; Mammalia; Cingulata; Dasypodidae. The record is from RNAcentral.
CCGUGAAGUUCAGGGUCUUGCCGAAAUACAUUCAAAGAGUAAAAUACAGAACCCGAACGAAUUCUGGAUCUGGAGCUGUGUGGUGUUAAAUUACAGACCGAUGACAAAGUCCACAUCUUUUCCUAUCCCCUUUCCUGCCAAUCGUGAUCAAAUCCAUCCCAC